RNAcentral lists this ribosomal RNA (1269 nucleotides) under Myroides odoratimimus. RNAcentral describes it as "bacterial SSU rRNA". It matches the Rfam family "Bacterial small subunit ribosomal RNA", at positions 116 to 1389 of the family's 1533-position model. Lineage: Bacteria; Pseudomonadati; Bacteroidota; Flavobacteriia; Flavobacteriales; Flavobacteriaceae. The record is from RNAcentral.
CGUAUGCAACCUACCUUAUACAGGGGAAUAGCCCGAAGAAAUUCGGAUUAAUGCUCCAUGGUUUAUCGAUAUGGCAUCGUAUUGAUAAUAAAGAUUUAUCGGUAUAAGAUGGGCAUGCGUAUCAUUAGCUAGUUGGUGUGGUAACGGCAUACCAAGGCAACGAUGAUUAGGGGUCCUGAGAGGGAGAUCCCCCACACUGGUACUGAGACACGGACCAGACUCCUACGGGAGGCAGCAGUGAGGAAUAUUGGUCAAUGGAGGCAACUCUGAACCAGCCAUGCCGCGUGCAGGAUGACGGUCCUAUGGAUUGUAAACUGCUUUUGUACAGGAAGAAACCUCCCUACGAGUAGGGACUUGACGGUACUGUAAGAAUAAGGAUCGGCUAACUCCGUGCCAGCAGCCGCGGUAAUACGGAGGAUCCGAGCGUUAUCCGGAAUUAUUGGGUUUAAAGGGUUCGUAGGCGGCUUUGUAAGUCAGUGGUGAAAUUUCCUAGCUUAACUAGGACACUGCCAUUGAUACUGCAGAGCUUGAAUAGUAUGGAAGUAACUAGAAUAUGUAGUGUAGCGGUGAAAUGCUUAGAUAUUACAUGGAAUACCAAUUGCGAAGGCAGGUUACUACGUAUUUAUUGACGCUGAUGAACGAAAGCGUGGGGAGCGAACAGGAUUAGAUACCCUGGUAGUCCACGCCGUAAACGAUGGAUACUAGCUGUUCGGUUUUCGGACUGAGUGGCUAAGCGAAAGUGAUAAGUAUCCCACCUGGGGAGUACGUUCGCAAGAAUGAAACUCAAAGGAAUUGACGGGGGCCCGCACAAGCGGUGGAGCAUGUGGUUUAAUUCGAUGAUACGCGAGGAACCUUACCAGGGCUUAAAUGUAGAUUGACAGAUUUGGAAACAGAUUUUUCUUCGGACAAUUUACAAGGUGCUGCAUGGUUGUCGUCAGCUCGUGCCGUGAGGUGUCAGGUUAAGUCCUAUAACGAGCGCAACCCCUAUUGUUAGUUACCAGCGCGUAGUGGCGGGGACUCUAGCAAGACUGCCGGUGCAAACCGUGAGGAAGGUGGGGAUGACGUCAAAUCAUCACGGCCCUUACGUCCUGGGCUACACACGUGCUACAAUGGCAAGUACAGAAAGCAGCUACCUGGCAACAGGAUGCGAAUCUCCAAAGCUUGUCUCAGUUCGGAUUGGAGUCUGCAACUCGACUCUAUGAAGCUGGAAUCGCUAGUAAUCGGAUAUCAGCCAUGAUCCGGUGAAUACGUUCCCGGGCCUUGUACACA